This is a non-coding RNA of Camellia sinensis, 1101 nucleotides long. Lineage: Eukaryota; Viridiplantae; Streptophyta; Magnoliopsida; Ericales; Theaceae. The record is from RefSeq and is a predicted model, not a curated record.
CUCGGUGAUUCAUCAUUCGGUCGAUCCAAUCUCAGGAUGAUUUUUGAUUUCGAGGCGCCACCGCCAUCUGCAUCUGCAUCUGCAUCUACAUCGUCUACUAACCAUCUGCACGAUUUCGAUUUCAAUCCAAUCUCAGCUCUCCAAUGAUCCAUUCGUUGAUCGGCAGUGACAGAAAAAAUCAACUCCUGUGAGAAAAGAAACCCUAACUUUCUCAUUGGAGGCGGUGCAUACUUUUUUCAAGGAGCAUGUGAAAUUCCUUGUUACAGACACAAUAGAUGGGCUAGACACCCCAUCAAAAUGCAUUCGUGUGUGGUUCAAUGCAGGAGGGAAUAAUGGAACAGGCAGAAACUCAGGAGGGAAUAAUGGCAAAAGCAGAAACUUAAAGAAAUGGAAAGAUAGGAGCAGUAAGCGUUACGACAAUAGAGGUUCAGACAAUUGGCCUUACCCUCUCGAUAAGUUUCUUAGUCUAUGCAUUACAUAAAUGUAUCAUCAACAGUGAGAAUCAUUUGACCCAAAAAGGAGAAGCCUGGUUAAGAAGAAAAUGGUGGUAGCAAAUUAUAUUGAGGAUUGAUUCACGUUUGGACUGGAUUAAAAGUCUGAAACAAGUUUACUUAUUACCUUCGGAGCGACUUGAGCAUGUAAUAGAGAAGCAGUUGUUAAACCUCUCAACAAUUUUUGUCAAUGGUUCCAUCUUUAUGAGGAGAAUAAGGAUACCCAUGAGGCAUUAGGACUGAUUGGAAAGAUGCUAGGCAUUCAGAUUGAUAGGUCUGGGAGGAUACCUAUGUUGAGGUUCCGAGAUCGUGAAUCAUAUGCUGGGAACAAGACAAAGGAGAACGACUUCUUCAAGCUCGAUACAAAAGGAACAUGGCUGAGUCCUCUUCUACUUCUUUUUGGGUUUCUUUUUUUUUUUGGGGUAUACACUUAGGAUUGUUUUUCAGAACUUGCUCCUAGAAUCAAAUGCCGAAAUAUUGCAAUGUUCAGAGAGGGUUUGGAGGCUCCUUCUUCAGGUUUUAAAUUCAUUGGAGUGAGCACUUUCAUUAAAACUCAGUUUGUUCAUCUUUCACUCUCUUAUUGUUCUUAAUGCUUGAAAUGGUUGGUUUA